Molecule: ribosomal RNA, 320 nt
Filed under: uncultured bacterium
Lineage: Bacteria
Description: bacterial SSU rRNA
Rfam family: Bacterial small subunit ribosomal RNA
Source: RNAcentral
GACUGAACGCGUAGCGACAGGCUUAACACAUGCAAGUCGAGGGGCAGCAGUGAACGUUAGCUUGCUAAGUUUGAUGGCGACCGGCGCACGGGUGAGUAACGCGUAUGCAACUUACCUAUCAGAGGAGAAUAGCUCAUCGAAAGAUGAAUUAAUGCUCCAUAAAACAGGGGUCCCGCAUGGGAAUAUUUGUUAAAGAUUCAUCGCUGAUAGAUAGGCAUGCGUUCCAUUAGGCAGUUGGCGGGGUAACGGCCCACCAAACCGACGAUCAGUAGCCGGACUGAGAGGUUGGCCGGCCACAUUGGGACUGAGACACGGCCCAG